Long non-coding RNA from Hippocampus zosterae (dwarf seahorse), 281 nucleotides. RefSeq lists it as uncharacterized. NCBI's taxonomy places the organism in Eukaryota, Metazoa, Chordata, Actinopteri, Syngnathiformes, Syngnathidae. The record is from RefSeq and is a predicted model, not a curated record. The transcript is spliced from 2 exons.
GCACUAUUCAUGAGAAGCAGAAUGUGGGCAGUAGAAGAGGACUAGGCCACAUGCUUAAAUCAGCAAUUGUUCUUUGGGAUGUUCUUUGUUAUGGAGGAUUUGACAGGUGUUUGAAGUUAUUUAUUAAAUUUGCAGGGUAUGAGUCAAGUGAUGAAAGAAAAAAAAGUCAGAUUCAUCCAUUAUGAAAACAAUCCUUAUUAGCAGUUGUAGAAUGUAACUGACAUACCGUAUACCUGGAAGUGACACGUUUCUGAACCUGAAGGGGUCUCAGUCGUUUAUAU